UAACAAGGAUUCCCCUAGUAACUGCGAGUGAAGCGGGAAGAGCUCAAAUUUAAAAUCUGGCGGUCUUCUGGCUGUCCGAGUUGUAAUCUGGAGAAGCGUUUUCUGUGUUAGACCGUGUACAAGUCUCCUGGAACGGAGCGUCAUAGAGGGUGAGAAUCCCGUCCAUGACACGGACAACUAAUACUUUGUGAUACGCUCUCGAAGAGUCGAGUUGUUUGGGAAUGCAGCUCAAAAUGGGUGGUAAAUUCCAUCUAAAGCUAAAUACAGGCGAGAGACCGAUAGCGAACAAGUACCGUGAGGGAAAGAUGAAAAGCACUUUGGAAAGAGAGUUAAACAGUACGUGAAAUUGUUGAAAGGGAAACGCUUGAAGUCAGUCGCGUUGUGCAGAACUCAGCCUUGCCUCGGCUUGGUGUACUUUCUGCACAACGGGUCAACAUCAAUUUUGGCCCAUGGAGAAAGGUGGGGGGAAUGUAGCGCUGUUUCGGCAGCGUGUUAUAGCCCCUCUUGUAUACAUGGGCUGGGAUUGAGGAACGCAGCACGCCCUUGUGGCCGGGGGUUCGCCCUACGUACCGUGCUUAGGAUGUUGGCAGAAUGGCUUUAAGCGACCCGUCUUGAAACACGGACCAAGGAGUCUAACAUGCUUGCGAGUAUUCGGGUGGAAAACCCUUGUGCGUAAUGAAAGUGAAAGUUGGGAACCUCCGCAAGGGGGUGCACCGACGCCCGGCCCUGACGUUCUCUGACGGUGCUGCGGUAGAGCAAGUAUGCUAGGACCCGAAAGAUGGUGAACUAUGCCUGAAUAGGGCGAAGCCAGAGGAAACUCUGGUGGAGGCUCGUAGCGAUUCUGACGUGCAAAUCGAUCGUCAAAUUUGGG
Molecule: ribosomal RNA, 871 nt
Filed under: Fomitiporia maxonii
Lineage: Eukaryota; Fungi; Basidiomycota; Agaricomycetes; Hymenochaetales; Hymenochaetaceae
Description: eukaryotic LSU rRNA
Rfam family: Eukaryotic large subunit ribosomal RNA
Source: RNAcentral